GACGAACGCUGGCGGCGUGCUUAACACAUGCAAGUCGAACGGAAAGGCCCUGCUUUUGUGGGGUGCUCGAGUGGCGAACGGGUGAGUAACACGUGAGUAACCUGCCCUUGACUUUGGGAUAACUUCAGGAAACUGGGGCAAAUACCGGAUAGGAGCUCCUGCUGAAUGGGGGGGGUUGGAAAGUUUCGGCGGUUGGGGAUGGACUCGCGGCUUAUCAGCUGGUUGGUGGGGUAGUGGCUUACCAAGGCUUUGACGGGUAGCCGGCCUGAGAGGGUGACCGGCCACAUUGGGACUGAGAUACGGCCCAGACUCCUACGGGAGGCAGCAGUGGGGAAUAUUGCACAAUGGGCGGAAGCCUGAUGCAGCAACGCCGCGUGCGGGAUGACGGCCUUCGGGUUGUAAACCGCUUUCGCCUGUGACGAAGCGUGAGUGACGGUAAUGGGUAAAGAAGCACCGGCUAACUACGUG
Molecule: ribosomal RNA, 468 nt
Filed under: uncultured bacterium
Lineage: Bacteria
Description: partial 16S ribosomal RNA
Rfam family: Bacterial small subunit ribosomal RNA
Source: RNAcentral